Small nuclear RNA from Choloepus hoffmanni (Hoffmann's two-fingered sloth), 191 nucleotides. Its record names the gene U2. It matches the Rfam family "U2 spliceosomal RNA". Rfam says of the family: U2 is a small nuclear RNA (snRNA) component of the spliceosome (involved in pre-mRNA splicing). NCBI's taxonomy places the organism in Eukaryota, Metazoa, Chordata, Mammalia, Pilosa, Megalonychidae. The record is from Ensembl.
AUCACUUCUUGGCCUUUUGGCCAAGAUCAAGUGUAUUAUCUGUUCUUAUCAGUUUAAUAUCUGAUACAUCCUCUCUUUGAGGACAAUACAUUAAAUGGAUUUUUGGAGCAGGGAGAUGGAAUAGGAGCUUGCUCCCUCCACUCUAUGCAUUGAUCUGGUAUUGCAGAGCCUCCAGGAAUGGUGUACUCCUC